Molecule: ribosomal RNA, 2202 nt
Filed under: Triticum aestivum (bread wheat)
Lineage: Eukaryota; Viridiplantae; Streptophyta; Magnoliopsida; Poales; Poaceae
Description: partial small subunit ribosomal RNA
Source: RNAcentral
AUGGACCGUCAGGCCAGCACAAGCCACAUCCAUGUCCUGGAGAGGAUUCUGCUCGACGAGAACGCGGAGCCCACGGACCUGCCGCUAUCACUUCUCAAAGGCAUCACAAAUGGCUUCUCUCCUGCUCACCAAAUUGGCAGGGGCGGGUUUGCGGAGGUUUACAAGGGAGUGGUCGGGAAAGGUAUGGUCGCCGUGAAGAGGCUGUCAAGGACGUUUGCUGUCCACGAGAAUAAAUUCCAGGAAGAGGUCAAAUGCCUGAUAAAGGCCAAGCACAAGAAUAUUGUCCGGUUUCUGGGGUAUUGCGCUGACACGCAGGGUAAAAUGGAAGAGUACGAGGGGAAUCUUGUCAUGGCAGAUCAACGCAACUGGUUGCUCUGUUUUGAAUAUGUAUGCAACGGGAGUCUCGAUAAGCACAUUACUGCUGCAACUUGUGGACUUAAUUGGAGGCAGCGCUAUCAAAUAAUCAGGGGGAUAUGUGAGGGGUUACUUUUUCUGCACAAGAAGAGAAUUCUUCACUCGGACCUGAAGCCUGCUAAUAUAUUGCUAGAUGGUCACAUGGUACCCAAAAUUGCUGAUUUUGGUCUCUCGAGGUGCCUCGGUGAAGAGCAAACCCGUUAUAUUACUCAAAACCUAUGGGGAACACUGGGAUACGUGGAUCCAGAAUACAUCAGAUCAAGACAAAUCUCAUUCUCGUCAGACAUGUAUAGUCUUGGCGUUAUAAUAAUGGAGAUAGUGGCAGGAAUUAGGUGCUAUCGCGAAGAUGAGGAUGUAAUUCAAAGUUGGAUGAUUCGAUUGGAGGCAUUAGAGGGCGACAUACAGUUGGAACAAGUAAGAGUAUGCUGCAAGAUAGCGGUAGAGUGCAUGGACUUGGACCCAAAGAAGAGACCAGUUGCACAACACAUAGUUAACAGGCUUGAUAAAACGGCAAGUGCAGACUAUUUAGACGAAACUAGCAUUGGAAAUUCAUUAUUUCAGCCGUGGGUAAGUUGUCCAAGGGAGCAACCUGGAGAAAGAAUUGGAAAACUUGCAGCUGGGAGCCUCCAAGUGGAUGUCGAGGAACACUCUGAAAUACUGGAAGAUGUCGCAGAAAGUAUUGAAUGGCUUCAUUUCCAGGAUGGCCAACAGAAAAUAGACCAAUUACCAUCACGGGGAGUGCAAGAUACGAAGCAAAAGGUUAACCGUUGUGGCACAAGCAUUUCUAGCUGUAUCCCUAAUGUGUUCUACAAGUUAAACAAAUUGAACAUCUUCCACAGGAAAGCAAGCAGGAACCUCCAUAGCAUCGACAUGCACACAUUAGAAAAGUUACAUAAUAUAAAGAUCUUCACAAAAGAGGAGCUCAAGCCAAUAAUAAAUAGUACGAAUUUGAUUGGAAGAGGCGUCUUCUCUCAUGUUUACAAGGGCUAUGUUGAUAACACACAGGUUGCGGUAAAGAUACCGUUUACUUAUAGUUCGCUGCAGAAUUUAGAAUUUGAAAAUCAAGUCGUCAUCAUGUCUCAAGUCAGCCACAAGAACAUUGUUAGGCUCAUAGGUUGUUGCCUAGAAGCAGGCUCCCUCAUGCUUGUGUAUGAGUUCGUCUCCAAUGGAAGCCUUGAUGAAAUUCUUCAUAGCCGCGAUAAGGUUAUGCCUCUCAACUUGGAUGUGCGUCUGAAUAUCGUGGCAGAAUCCGCACAAGGUCUGGCUUAUCUGCAUUCACAAGCCCGUGCCAAAACAGUGCAUGGUGAUGUCAAAUCAGCAAACAUACUCUUGGAUGAUGACUUUGUGCCAAAGAUCUCAGACGUUGGCAUAACGAAGUUGAUUGAUCUGAGUGAUUGGCGAUACAGUAGCAUUCUCGUUGGCGGUGGGAGUUAUAUUAGGGAUCCAGUGUACGUGCAGACAGGCAUGCUGACCGAAAAAACUGACGUCUACUGUUUUGGAAUUGUGAUCUUGGAGGUGAUUAGCGGGAAGAAGCCCAAUCAUUAUGAUGAUAGCAGCUGUGGCCUGGCGACGAGGUUCCUUGAUGUUCACAAAGAGGGGAAGAAAGCAACCCAUCUGUUUGACAUGGAUAUUGCAGUAACAGCAGGAGACUUGGAGAUUCUCGGCCACCUUGCAGAGAUUGCUGUGGAAUGUAUUAACUUUGAUGCGGAUCAACAAAGGCCCACGAUGACAGAUGUCGCGGAGCGCCUCCUCAUACUGAAUCGAUCUCGUAGGCCUCAAGCUGUUUAG